Molecule: signal recognition particle RNA, 265 nt
Filed under: Fidelibacterota bacterium
Lineage: Bacteria; Pseudomonadati; Fidelibacterota
Description: signal recognition particle sRNA large type
Rfam family: Bacterial large signal recognition particle RNA
About the family: The signal recognition particle (SRP) is a universally conserved ribonucleoprotein involved in the co-translational targeting of proteins to membranes.
Source: RNAcentral
CCGUGCUAGAUGGGGAAUUAGCGGUGCCCUAUGACCUGCAAUCCGCUAUAGCAGGAUCGAUGCUAUCGCCAGGCUAUUGCCGACCUAUUUGAUAGUAAUAAGUGGUGUUGAGAUUCUGGACUGUUGCAAUAGAUGAUAGACGAACCCCGUCAGGCCUGGAAGGGAGCAGCGGUAAAUCUUCUCAUCUAUGUGCUGACAGAGACCAGAGUGGAACUGGCUGUUGCUCUUUGAAUUUGUAGCGGAAUGGUCGAACGCUAGUGCACGG